This 253-nucleotide ribosomal RNA is filed under the name uncultured bacterium. Its description in RNAcentral is "partial 16S ribosomal RNA". It matches the Rfam family "Bacterial small subunit ribosomal RNA", at positions 524 to 776 of the family's 1533-position model. The record is from RNAcentral.
UACGUAGGGUGCAAGCGUUAAUCGGAAUUAUUGGGCGUAAAGCGUGCGCAGGCGGUGAUGUAAGACCGAUGUGAAAUCCCCGGGCUUAACCUGGGAACUGCAUUGGUGACUGCAUCGCUCGAGUAUGGCAGAGGGGGGUAGAAUUCCACGUGUAGCAGUGAAAUGCGUAGAGAUGUGGAGGAAUACCGAUGGCGAAGGCAGCCCCCUGGGUCAAUACUGACGCUCAUGCACGAAAGCGUGGGGAGCAAACAGG